GUCCCCCACUGGCACUAGCCACUAGUCCUCAGGCUCCGCCGGCCGCCCGCCGCCUUCGGCCUUCGUCUCCUCUCCCGCGGCCCCUGCUGGCCUGCUUUGGUGGCCUUUGGGUGAGCGCGCGCCUCCCGAUCCCGUCGGCUGCCGGCGCCCCGCGCGGCCGCGCCCUAAGCCCCCUACCCCGCCGCGGCGGCGCACCUCCGUGGCUCCUGCCUGCAGCCCCGCACCCGGUGCCGGUGGCCACCGUCCUGUGGCCGCAGUCUGCCGCCUACCGCCCGGCCGCCCCGACGCGUGUACUGGGUACUGCACCGGCCUAAUUGCAAUCCCCUCACUGGAUUUUAUGCCCAACGUGUACAUGCACUCCUGAAUGCUUGAACCUGGAGUUACUACAUAGCUUGGUAUUCAUCAUAUAAAUGACGGGAAGAAGAUUGGCAGGGCAUGGAUAUUUGAUUCCCAGAACCCUUUACUUCAUACGAUGGCAGGCUAUGUCAUCAUUCUCAGCCGGCCAUGGACGCCGACCCAAGAAGAAGCUAUAUCACCGUGAGCCUGGUCUUGACAAAGCCAUGGACCUCCAAAAGAAGCCUACCCUCCUCCUUUGUCUCCGUGACCUCAUUUUGGCACAAAGGACAUGCUCAUUACUUGUACGUGACCUUGAAAAGGAGGUUGGCUUUGUCCAAAAAUGGAACUUUCUUUCACUUAUCGAGCGUCAUCCCAAUAUCUUCCAUGUCUCUGGCGGAAGCGCUUCCCGAGAGCCCAUUGCUGUCACACUUACUGAGAAGGCCAAAAGGAUAUCCAGUGAAGAGGAUCAAGCACGAGAGCUAAUGGAGCCAAUCUUGGUGAAAAACCUAAGGAAGUUACUGAUGAUGUCGAUGGACUGCCAAAUCCCCUUGGAGAAGAUUGAGCUAAUCCAAUCUGAACUGGGAUUACCUAAGAACUUCAAGAACAACUUGCUUCCAAGGUAUCCUGAUUUUUUUUCAAUCCGUGAUGUGAAGGGAUUGGACCAUUUGUGUCUGGAGAAUUGGGACUCUUCACUAGCGGUCACAGCGCGAGAAGAAAAAUUAGAUUUUGAGGGUUUCCAAAUAGGCUGUAGAGGGAUUCCUAAAGAUGGAAAUAUCUUGGGUCCUUUUGCUUUCAAGUUGAAGUACCCAGCAGGAUUUAGGCCAAAUCGGAAGUACCUUGAGGAGGUUGUCAGGUGGCAAAAGAUGGCAUUUCCUUCACCUUAUCUGAAUGCUAGGCGAGUUGAGUCUGCAACGCCUCAGGCUCGAAAGCGAGCUGUUGCUGUCCUGCAUGAGAUUUUGAGCCUGACAAUGGAGAGGCGAUUGACAUCUGAUAAGCUAGAUGUAUUUCACAAUGAGUACAGGCUUCCAUGCAAGUUGCUUCUUUGUUUGGUGAAAAAUCAUGGCAUCUUCUACAUCACUAACAAGGGAGCAAGAAGCACUGUCUUCCUCAAGGAGGCCUAUGAGAACAGUAACCUCAUUGAUAAGUGUCCUUUAUUGAAAUUCCAUGAGCACUUUGCAUCUUUGAUUGGCCGACCAUGCGCGAACUCAGAUAAUCUACUAGCAAUAUAAUUGGUGUGUAGAUUUACUGGUCAGGAGACAGCUUAUCAAAGCACAUUUGUGUUAGCAAUAAUCCUGUGCGUGCAUGUACCUGUCCAGGUUCAGACUUCAGAGUGUCCAGGUGCACCCUUUAUUGUAAGCAGAUUUUCAGCUAGCAGAUUAGGGAGGAUAAUAGGAAAUCAUAGCAGUAAUGCCGGCAAUAACCAGGUGGUUAAGUGAGUCCUUAUUGUAGCAUGUAUCCAGCAUAGCACGAAAAAAAUUCAGAAAAGCAGCAAGCAAUUGCAGCACCAAUGACUACCUGUGUAUGUGUGUGUUCUGUGCGCGAGCAAUCUGUGCUACACUGCUACCUGUGAGGCCAUCUUGCCACUACAGUUUAAGUCCUUUGUACAGUGUGCGUUUCUGUGAUCACAGUAAGUAAAGAGAGAACUAAAGAAUUGAAAAGACCAGUGACCCAUUUUCAAAUGUAAAUCUAUCUGAGAAAUCAAGUGGCAGCUCUGCAGAUUAGACAAAAUAAUGGUCGUAACAGAAGUCACAUAUUUAUUCCCACCAUUGCAGGUUUGAAUCUUAGGGGCGAUAUGGUUGGCUUAGCAAUUUUCUAGAAAGGAUUUGCUCUUGUUAUGUAGCUUAUAAUCCAAAACCAAGCCUGUUCGGUAACGAUGCUGCUGCAGCUGCCCAGCAAUCUGCUACUGAAAUUGGGCCCUGGAGUGCAAGUUGCCGCUGCUGUAUAGCUGCAGUUCCGGUGAAAAAUCACUGCUGAACAGAAUCAAAACUAUAGCAUUCAAGUUAUUAUAUACUUUUAGUUUGCUUCUCUUGGCCUGAACCUUUCUUUCUGAUAAAUAAUAGCCAGAUGCUCAGUGUUUUGAAACUGUAUCAUACUAGUGAUUCCUCUUAGUGUACUUGAUAUCUUUUUACAUCUAAGAAUGUGUCUCACUAGUAAACAGCCAUUGCUAAUUUGCUGUGUCGAUCAAUCACUUGAUCCUAUGAUUAAUGGUAUUAACUCGGUGUGGUAUUGUUUCUUAGUCGGUUCUUUCUUAUCUUAUGAUUAUUUCUCCAUCCUUACACAGGUGGAAAGCACAUAUAAAAUUCUACAGAUGUCGUCAGUAGCCGUUUUGUUUAGAGUGCCAAGGUUUUAUAUAUUCAUGAAUCAUGAUAUCUGAUGGUUGCCUCGUGGUUAUCUCUCACAACCAUCCACCUACUUGUGUAUUUUUAGGAUCUGGCUGAUGAAUAGCUAGCAGUACAUCCUUACAGUUGCAUGCCAUUUGAGAUGUCUAAGGAUAAGAAAUAGCUUCGCAUGCAACUUGCACAAUUAGUAAUACCAUUUACUUACUUGCAAUCCAAUUAAAGGUUAUGAGAAAGUUUUUUAGCAAUAUAAAUAAAUUUAGUGCUGGCAAAAAUAUUUUUCAUUAUGUGGAGACUUCAGCAGAACUUCCAGGCAACUUUACAACACAAAUUUUGUAUCCUCCUAUGUUGUUUGUUUUGUAUUUAACUUCAGUUAUAAUGUAAAUUGGUAAUAAUCAAGUCCAGUACUAUUUUUCAAUCUAUUCUUUCUUGUGUGCAUAUCUUCAUCCGUACAUGGCAAUAAAGCACCUAUAAAUGCUCCAGACAUUGGCAGUAGCUGAAAUUUUGCUUCCAUCUAGCAUAUCAAAUGAUAUGCUAGCUUCAUUUUUCUUUUUUGCGAGGAUCUGAAUUUGUUGACAGACCUAGCUUUUCAAUGUUCUAUGUUGAUGAUGUCUCAUUAUUAAUAUUCAUGCUUAUGUUAUUUAGUUACUUCAGUCAUGUCUCAUGUCCAUUGGAUAAUCACUCCUACAACCCGUUCACUUAUUUUUUGUAAAGCAGGAUCUGUUCACUGAAUUGCAGUAGCACAUUCUUGUAUAGUUCCACGUUUUUUUUUUUGACUUAGUAGUGACUUUAUCUUAACUAAUUCUAUUGCCUCCUAUAGUGCUAGGUUUAGUCUUAACUUCAGAUAUUAAGUUGGAAAUUCUAGUUGCCUUGCCUAUUCUGACGUAGAUACCAGUAAUGUGCUUCACCUUUGUACAUAUCUAGUUUUUCCUAUCAUUGACCUACUAAGGUUGACAGUGUGCUCACUCAAAAUUUUGUCCUGUAUCAUUUACAUCCUAUACAAUCAACACACUUCAUGUUGCUGAUCGCCCCCUUUCUGUUUACCAAGACUUGCGUGCAUGGGAUUAUUAGCCCCUCUUCUUUGUGAUGUGCUUGUAAUAGCUGGCCAGGGAUCUAACAAUAGGAUCAAUUGUGAGCAAUGCUGGCCUAUGGAUUAUUAUGUGAUCUAUAUCCAUCAGGAUAGGCAUGCAAACUUUUUAGAAGUUAGCAUAGCAAUCAAAUCAUUAUAGUUAAAAAUGUAUGUCACAAUUGUCUAUGAAAUUGUAGAACCCCAAUAGUUAGAUCUUGUGUGUUGUGUGCCUGAUGGUAUCACUUGUCAGGUUACUUUGUGGCAGGUAUAUUGUAGUACUAAUGUUUCUUUUUGGCGAAGGUACUGCUUUGUGUCAGAAUUGAUACAUUCUGCAGUUGUCAAAUAAAGAGACUCUCCAACUGAGUGCUCUGACAGGCAAAUGCCAUCCUCUGAAAGCCUGUCGUUUACAUGGUUGCUUGCUGCUGAAUAAUGAUCAAUGAAAUUGGGGGUACGCACUCAGAGCUGUUGUUCUGGGACCAGAUUCUGAAAGGACGAAAAAGAUUUAUCAAUGGCUAUGCCAACCCCUGCAACAGGCUAAUAAUAGGCACAGGUUUGGAUCCUUUCCAUAUCUACUUCAAUAUCUUGAGUAUGUUUUGAUUUCUCAGCACUGAAGUGGAUGUCCACAAUCCACAUGGAAUGUCUUGGUGGGAGAUGCAUUACUGAUGUUCUCAGACUUCACUGCAACGCUAAACCGAGCUUUCAGUGGGAUCCAUUGGAAUAAUUAGAUGGACAUAUGCCGAGAAAACUUCGACCGACAAAAUUAUGCGCAUUGUGGACACAUUGAGGUGAAAUCAUGCCAACUGGCUGCUGCUCAGUUUGCUGCCUGAGUACUGCCCAAAAAAAAAAAGUUUGCUGCCUGAGUAUAAUCCAUGAAAGUGAGGAGCAUAUACGGGGGUGCAGCAAUGGGACCAGAUUCUGCAUACACCAAGAGGGAACCCAUAAUGAUAGUGGUCAUAAGACUGGUCAGAUGCACUAAAAGUGAGGGAGUUAGUGUCUGAUAGUUUAGGCAGGCCUAUCCUGAAGUCAUACAAACAAUGGAGGGAGACUAGACGCCCUUUUUCAGAUCAUGCUUUUUUUUCCCUUCUGGCCAAGCAUCUGGAGAGGGUGAUGAAUCAUUCUAUCUUUAGCUCACCACCAAACCCACCGGGUCAAUCCACUGAGGGACAGGCUUGGUGCUGGAGCAAUCAUAUUCCUAUAUUAUUGGUUGGAACAAUAGCCGCUUUAUCUGAUUCAUUCAUAGGGUAUAAAGAUGGUGCCGGCUGCAGUACCAUGGAGUGCAAUGGCAAAGAUAAACCAACUUUAUUCGCGAAACAGAAGAUGGGCCAACUUUGGCGGGAAAUACAAUAAUUAAGGUCUGCUACCAGCCUACCCGCGAAAAUCAAGUUGCAGUGAACCAGCGGUCAAGCUUUUGUUAAGUAGCUGUGAUUGAACAGCGGGCCGAGGGCAUAUGCGUCCGUGGCGGUGACUUGUGCGAGCUGCAUUGUGCUGUCCGUGUCUGCUUCCGAUCCGAAUGAAAUGAUGGUGGUGGAGGAUCGCUGCGGGCGUGGUGUGGGGGGCUGCCGGCCGCGGCCGGUUUUGGUCUCGUCUGCUGCCGUGCCGCGGAUGCUGCUGCCGGGUGAAGCCAUGCGCCUGCACUUUUCUGCCAGCAGGAACGUCUCCGUUGCGUUCGGUCUCUGUAUCUUCUGCUUCCUUCAGCAUCAAUCCACCUCACACCACAUCGCGCUCCCUCCUUUUCCUUGUCCUCCUGUCCAGAUGUACUGUGCUCCACAUUUAUUUAUUUACUUACUACUAGUAGUAUUUACAUUAUAAAAAGUGCUAAAAACUCAUAAGCUAGAUUUUCUACCAUUUUUUAUUUCGGUCUAUUCUAUAA
Molecule: RNA transcript, 5611 nt
Organism: Panicum virgatum (switchgrass)
Lineage: Eukaryota; Viridiplantae; Streptophyta; Magnoliopsida; Poales; Poaceae
Gene name: protein WHAT'S THIS FACTOR 1 homolog, chloroplastic-like
Exons: 5
Source: RefSeq, a predicted model, not a curated record